GUGAACAAGAAAAACAUCAUUGUGUAAGCAAACAAAAUUUCUGAUCAUUAACUGAAGUAAGCAUUUUAAUGCAACAAGAUUUAGAUUAAGAGGUUUGAAUUUAGAUUGAAGUUAGUAUAUUGAGGUUGUGGGACUCUACAUUUGUGAUUGAUAUUUUUACUCUUUUAACCCGUUGUGAGUUUACAUAAGGCUGAAGCAGUUCAGUGAUGAAAAUUAAUAGGAGCAUC
RNAcentral lists this long non-coding RNA (227 nucleotides) under Trifolium pratense (red clover). RNAcentral's name for it is "long non-coding RNA (TPRA_LNC011476)". The record is from RNAcentral. Lineage: Eukaryota; Viridiplantae; Streptophyta; Magnoliopsida; Fabales; Fabaceae.